GGGGGAUAUUGCGCAAUGGGGGCAACCCUGACGCAGCAACGCCGCGUGAAGGAUGAAGGUUUUCGGAUUGUAAACUUCUUUUAUUAAGGACGAAACUUGACGGUACUUAAUGAAUAAGCUCCGGCUAACUACGUGCCAGCAGCCGCGGUAAUACGUAGGGAGCAAGCGUUGUCCGGAUUUACUGGGUGUAAAGGGUGCGUAGGCGGCUUUGCAAGUCAGAUGUGAAAUCUAUGGGCUCAACCCAUAAACUGCAUUUGAAACUGUAGAGCUUGAGUGAAGUAGAGGCAGGCGGAAUUCCCCGUGUAGCGGUGAAAUGCGUAGAGAUGGGGAGGAACACCAGUGGCGAAGGCGGCCUGCUGGGCUUUAACUGACGCUGAGGCACGAAAGCGUGGGUAGCAAACAGGAUUAGAUACCCUGGUAGUCCACGCUGUAAACGAUGAUUACUAGGUGUGGGGGGUCUGACCCCUUCCGUGCCGGAGUUAACACAAUAAGUAAUCCACCUGGGGAGUACGGCCGCAAGGUUGAAACUCAAAGGAAUUGACGGGGGCCCGCACAAGCAGUGGAGUAUGUGGUUUAAUUCGAAGCAACGCGAAGAACCUUACCAGGUCUUGACAUCCAACUAACGAAGUAGAGAUACAUUAGGUGCCCUUUGGGGAAAGUUGAGACAGGUGGUGCAUGGUUGUCGUCAGCUCGUGUCGUGAGAUGUUGGGUUAAGUCCCGCAACGAGCGCAACCCUUGCUAUUAGUUGCUACGCAAGAGCACUCUAAUAGGACUGCCGUUGACAAAACGGAGGAAGGUGGGGACGACGUCAAAUCAUCAUGCCCCUUAUGACCUGGGCUACACACGUACUACAAUGGAUGUUAACAGAGGGAAGCAAGACAGCGAUGUGGAGCAAACCCCUAAAAACAUUCUCAGUUCAGAUUGCAGGCUGCAACCCGCCUGCAUGAAGAUGGAAUUGCUAGUAAUCGCGGAUCAGCAUGCCGCGGUGAAUACGUUCCCG
This 1000-nucleotide ribosomal RNA is filed under the name uncultured organism. RNAcentral's name for it is "bacterial SSU rRNA". It matches the Rfam family "Bacterial small subunit ribosomal RNA", at positions 356 to 1376 of the family's 1533-position model. The record is from RNAcentral.